CCAAUAAGCUGAUGACAGUUGAUGCAAAAGGUAGAAAGAUUAGAUUAGGUUAGGUGAAGUCCGAUAUUAAAUAUUCACACAAAUAGACAGCCAAUCAAGCCAUACCCUUCAAUGACGCAUCUCUAGAAAAUACCUUGAUCUUCAACCCAUACCGAUAUAUCCAUGUAAUUCGCAAGACAUGAAUAUCCACAGAACAAGUAGGCACACGCAUCUGGACAUAAUACCUGUAAAGGAAAUAAACACGAAAGCCUUUAGAAUAAUUUUUGAUAAUGUCCAUUAUGUAAUGCCUCUUUUACAUUUAUAAUUUUGUAUAUCAAGUUAU
Long non-coding RNA from Cyphomyrmex costatus, 322 nucleotides. RefSeq lists it as uncharacterized. The transcript is spliced from 3 exons. The record is from RefSeq and is a predicted model, not a curated record. Lineage: Eukaryota; Metazoa; Arthropoda; Insecta; Hymenoptera; Formicidae.